AAAAAAGCAAUGAUGAGGAUGAGUAAGUUAAUUACAGCCAUAAGAGAGGAGUGCCAGGCGGUGUAAGCAUUCCGGGCUAGUGUUUUCUGAAUACCACCUCUGAGCUCGCAUCUGAAUUAAGUAAGAAUGCGCGUUGACUGCGUUAAAGUUUUAAGUGGGUUUUUAUCAAUUUGGGUGGAACCACGGGAAUAAUACUCUCGUCCCUGCG
Molecule: non-coding RNA, 208 nt
Filed under: Oxobacter pfennigii
Lineage: Bacteria; Bacillati; Bacillota; Clostridia; Eubacteriales; Clostridiaceae
Description: T-box sequence
Rfam family: T-box leader
About the family: Uncharged tRNA acts as the effector for transcription antitermination of genes in the T-box leader family. T-boxes are found upstream of many aminoacyl-tRNA synthetase genes and some amino acid biosynthetic genes usually in Gram-positive bacteria. The anticodon of a specific tRNA base pairs to a specifier sequence within the T-box motif, and the NCCA acceptor tail of the tRNA base pairs to a conserved bulge in the T-box antiterminator hairpin.
Source: RNAcentral